This 1197-nucleotide ribosomal RNA is filed under the name uncultured organism. RNAcentral describes it as "bacterial SSU rRNA". It matches the Rfam family "Bacterial small subunit ribosomal RNA", at positions 199 to 1426 of the family's 1533-position model. The record is from RNAcentral.
GAGUAAAGAUUUCGGUCGCUUUGGGAGGAGCUCGCUUACUAUCAGCUUGUUGGUAGGGUAAUGGCCUACCAAGGCUAUGACGGUUAGGGGGUGUGAGAGCAUGACCCCCAGCAUUGGCACUGAAACACUGGCCAAACACCUACGGGUGGCUGCAGUCGAGAAUCUUCCACAAUGGGGGAAACCCUGAUGGAGCGAUGCUGCGUGCGGGAUGAAGGCCUUCGGGUCGUAAACCGCUUUUGUAGGGGACGAAAUUUUUGACGGUACCCUUUCGAAUAAGAGGUUGCUAACUCUGUGCCAGCAGCAGCGGUAAUACAGAGACCUCAAGCGUUAUCCGGAUUUACUGGGCGUAAAGCGUCUGUAGGGGGUUUAUUAAGUUCCAAGUAAAAUUUCAAGGCUCAACUUUGAAUUCGCUUGGAAAACUAAUAAACUGGAGUCUAGCAGAGGUGCAUGGAACUUGUGGUGUAGGAGUGAAAUCCGUUGAUAUCACAAGGAACACCAAAGGCGAAGGCAUUGCACUGGGCUAGCACUGACCCUGAGAGACGAAAGCGUGGGGAGCAAAACGGAUUAGAUACCCGUGUAGUCCACGCCCUAAACGAUGAAUGCUAAAUGUUCGGGGAUUCGACCCCCUGGGUGUUACAGCUAACGCGUUAAGCAUUCCGCCUGGGAAGUACGGCCGCAAGGCUAAAACUCAAAGGAAUAGACGGGGAUCCGCACAAGCGGUGGAGCGUCUGGUUUAAUUCGACAGUAAGCGUGGUACCUCACCAGGGUUUGACAUCCCUUGACAGCCUUGGAAACAAGGUUUCCUUCGGGCAAGGUGACAGGUGCUGCAUGGUCGUCGUCAGUUCGUGCCGUGAGGUGUUCCGUUAAGUCGGGAAACGAACGAAACCCCUAUUGCAUGUUACAAUUUCUCAUGCAAGACUGCCCGGAUAUACUGGGAGGAAGGUGGGGAUGACGUCAGAUCUGCAUGGUCCUUAUACCCUGGGCGACACAGGCGCUACAAUGGCAGAGACAAAGGGUUGCAAAACCGCAAGGUGAAGCUAAUCCCAAAAACUUUGUCUAAGUUCGGAUUGAAGGCUGCAAUUCGCCUUCAUGAAGCUGGAAUCGCUAGUAAUCGUGAAUCAGCCACGUCACGGUGAAUAUGUUCCCGGAUCUUGUACUCACCGCCCGUCACACCAAGAGAGUUGGUAGCUCCCGAAG